RNAcentral lists this unclassified non-coding RNA (357 nucleotides) under Zea mays. Its description in RNAcentral is "misc RNA Zm00001eb282400". The record is from RNAcentral. Lineage: Eukaryota; Viridiplantae; Streptophyta; Magnoliopsida; Poales; Poaceae.
GUCAUCAGGGACAGCCAUUACCGCCACCCUUGAACCCAAGAGCGAUGUCCAGGAGAGGGUGCUUGCUCUGCGACAGACGGCGGCGGUCGUCCACCUGCAGGCUGCAGCACGCGGUUUCCUAGCGCGUCGGCGGGUGAAGCAGAUGAUGGGGGUGCUCCAUUGCGAGGGAGUCGUAGCUGCACCAGCGCGCCCGAGCAACGUGGUGGUUGUUCACCUCCGCGUACAAGAGGCUGCAAGACAUGGCGCCCCUCUGCAACGCUUCGUCCGGCGCUGGCCCUCAUCUGCGGCGACCGGGCAAGUACCACGACUACUCUCCUUCGUACAAGGGGGUCUGCUGGCCUCGCCACCAUCUGCUCU